This 996-nucleotide ribosomal RNA is filed under the name uncultured Gram-positive bacterium. Its description in RNAcentral is "bacterial SSU rRNA". It matches the Rfam family "Bacterial small subunit ribosomal RNA", at positions 511 to 1502 of the family's 1533-position model. The record is from RNAcentral.
GCAGCCGGGGUAAGACGUAGGGGGCGAGCGUUGUCCGGAAUUACUGGGCGUAAAGGGCGUGUAGGCGGCCUUUAAAGUCAGCUGUGAAAUCCCUUGGCUCAACUGAGGGCUUGCAGUUGAAACUUAAAGGCUUGAGUGCAGGAGAGGAAGGUGGAAUUCCCAGUGUAGCGGUGAAAUGCGUAGAUAUUGGGAGGAACACCGGUGGCGAAGGCGGCCUUCUGGCCUGUAACUGACGCUGAGGCGCGAAAGCUAGGGGAGCAAACAGGAUUAGAUACCCUGGUAGUCCUAGCUGUAAACGCUGGGUACUAGGUGUAGGGGGUUUAGACGCUCUCUGUGCCGUAGUUAACGCAUUAAGUACCCCGCCUGGGGAGUACGAUCGCAAGGUUGAAACUCAAAGGAAUUGACGGGGGCCCGCACAAGCGGUGGAGCAUGUGGUUUAAUUCGACGCAACGCGAAGAACCUUACCAGGGCUUGACAUCUAGCUGAAGUAUUUUGGAGACAAGAUAUUCACUUCGGUGCAGUUAGACAGGUGGUGCAUGGUUGUCGUCAGCUCGUGUCGUGAGAUGUUGGGUUAAGUCCCGCAACGAGCGCAACCCUUAUUCUUAGUUGCCAUCAGGUGAAGCUGGGCACUCUAAGGAGACUGCCGGUGACAAACCGGAGGAAGGUGGGGAUGACGUCAAAUCAUCAUGCCCUUUAUGUCCUGGGCCACACACGCUACAAUGGUCGGUACAAUGGGUGGCCAAGCCGCGAGGCGGAGCUAAUCCCAGCAAAACCGGCCUCAGUUCGGAUUGGAGGCUGCAACCCGCCUCCAUGAAGUCGGAGUUGCUAGUAAAUGCCGGUCAGCCAUACGGCGUUGAAUACGUUCCCGGGCCUUGUACACACCGCCCGUCACGUCAUGGGAGCUGGUAACACCUGAAGUCGGUGUGCUAACCCGCAAGGGGGGCAGCUGCCGAGGGUGGGACUGGUGACUGGGACGAAGUCGUAACAAGGUAACCA